This 74-nucleotide transfer RNA is filed under the name Mus musculus (house mouse). RNAcentral's name for it is "tRNA-Ser". The record is from RNAcentral. Lineage: Eukaryota; Metazoa; Chordata; Mammalia; Rodentia; Muridae.
GUUUAUGAUGGCUCAGCGGUUAAGAGCACUGACUGCUAUUCCUGAGGUCCUGAGUUCAAAUCCCAGCAACUACA